GUAUAUAUGUCUAUUUAUUAUUUGGGGUUGGCAACAGCAUUCAAUCAGUCUUUCAGAGUGUCCUCUUAUGAGCUGUCAACAAAACCUCCCUAAUUUGUGUUCUUGGCAGCUGAAUCCAACCACCAUUGGAAACCAAAUUGCUGGGCUUUGGAAAGUCCAGCCCAUCCAUCUAGCAGCCUAUUUUCUUAGGGACUCGGAUGAUCCCUGGAGACCCUCCCCUUUAAGCCCCUCUUAGCAUUACUGUGCAAAAAGAGAUGAUUAAGAAAUGAAUACUAUUUUAAGAAUAUGUGAGUGGUUCUCAUCAUACUCUCCAGAUUCUGUCUAGAGUAGGAGCAAAGACUCAAAGAUUUGUAGGUUUGGAGGUUCAACAAAUCAGGAAAAUACUCCCUAAACUAAUGUUAAUGAAAUGAAUAGAGGGGGAAGUAAGAAACGAGGUUGACAAGAUGACUGGGAGUCUCGUUAUGGUUCUACCUUGCUGUUGGGAGAACAAGCUCUGAGUAACAGCUAUGAUGAUAGGGAGUUAUUUUCAUGAGGGCACUCUAUGUGAACAACUCCCUCUCCUGAAAAGCCAGGCUGCCUCGUGCCAGGGAGCCAGCACCACCCCCACUACUUCUGCUGCCCAGUGCCUGAGGUUGAAAAAUGUGAGGCAGCUGGGGAAGAUGAGAGCCAGGCAUCCUUCUCUUAUUUGUUUAACCACGCUGCUGGCCUAGGUGCAAUCACAGUUUUUCAUUUACAUGAUCUGCUAAUUGGAAAUCCGUGCCUACCCAGCCUUGGUCCAUGCUUAGAUGCUCUUGCUGCUGGCCUUGGAUAUUUCAUUCCAAAUAUACCCUGGGUGCCAAUAAUGAUAAAAAAAACAAAAACAAAAAAACCCACUUGAGAACAGUGUUGUUAGACCUUAGCAUGCAAAAGAAGCACCUGGUAUACUUGAUGAAACCCAUACUCUCAGGCCAGCCCCAAAAGAUUCUGAUUUAAUAAGUCUGAGAUUUUACUUUGAGUGAGGUAUAAGUGCCUUUGAGAGAGUUGCUAUAAGAAGAGGUCGUCAUUACUUUCCAUUCAAUCAAGUCAAUAAUAGAUGUUAAUUGGAAACUAACUUCCCCAGAUCUAAACUCUAAUGCAAUUGGAAAAAGGACCUCUCAACACUCACAGAGCAAGGAGAAGACAUAAUGAUCUCCAGAAUGAAUUUCCAAGAUCAAAGCAGAACUAAGUGUGCCUGUGAAUGUAAAAACAGGUAACAUUGGAGAGCUGUGAUCAUAAAGAAGUCAUUAAACCAAUUGAUCACCAUGUCAUUUUGGCUGUGGUUCUAAAUGAUUUUUUGUUGUUGUUGUUUGAAGUAUCUGGCACAAGAUAAAGAGAGAUUCUGCUGUAAGGAACAGUAAAUGACUUACCUUUUCUGCUAUUUGUUUUCUAGACAGAAAUUAGUUUAAACUGCACCCAAGAUGUUCCCAGGUUGGAUGUUGCUGCAUGAAAUAGAUUAAAAGUAACAUGGUAGAUUUCAUGGAAUGGGCAUGUGAGGAGUCCCAAGUACCCUUUCCCCAAGGAAAUACUAUUUAACUAC
Bubalus bubalis (water buffalo) is the source of this 1555-nucleotide long non-coding RNA. RefSeq lists it as uncharacterized. The transcript is spliced from 3 exons. Lineage: Eukaryota; Metazoa; Chordata; Mammalia; Artiodactyla; Bovidae. The record is from RefSeq and is a predicted model, not a curated record.